AGAGUUUGAUCAUGGCUCAGAACGAACGCUGGCGGCGUGGAUAAGACAUGCAAGUCGAACGCUAAUCAAGAGGUAGUAAUAUCUCUUGAUUGGAGUGGCGAAAGGGUGAGUAACACGUGGGUAAUUUGCCGUGAAGUUGGGGAUAACCCGCUGAAAGGCGGGCUAAUACCGAAUGUGGUGCUGAGCAGGCAUCUGCUUUUCACUGAAGUUGGGGACCGAAAGGCCUGACGCUUCACGAUAAGCCCGCGGCCUAUCAGCUUGUUGGUAGGGUAACGGCCUACCAAGGCUUAGACGGGUAGCUGGUCUGAGAGGACGAUCGGUCACACUGGAACUGAGACACGGUCCAGACACCUACGGGUGGCAGCAGUCGAGAAUCUUUCUCAAUGGGCGAAAGCCUGAAGGAGCGACGCCGCGUGGGGGAUGAAGGGUUUCGGCCUGUAAACCCCUGUCAUUCGUGAACAAACCUUUUCCGUAAACAGCGGAAGAGCUGAUAGUAGCGAAAGAGGAAGGGACGGCUAACUCUGUGCCAGCAGCCGCGGUAAUACAGAGGUCCCAAGCGUUGUUCGGAUUCACUGGGCGUAAAGGGUGCGUAGGCGGCAAGGUAAGUUCGGUGUGAAAUCUCCGGGCUCAACUCGGAAAUGUCAUCGAAAACUAUCUUGCUCGAGGGUCGGGAUGGGAGACUGGAAUUCUCGGUGUAGCGGUGAAAUGCGUAGAUAUCGAGAGGAACACCAGUGGCGAAAGCGAGUCUCUGGACGACCCCUGACGCUGAGGCACGAAAGCUAGGGGAGCAAACAGGAUUAGAUACCCUGGUAGUCCUAGCUGUAAACGGUGCACACUUGCCGUAAGAGGAUUCGACCCCUCUUGUGGCGAAGCUAACGCGUUAAGUGUGCCGCCUGGGGAGUACGGCCGCAAGGCUAAAACUCAAAGAAAUUGACGGGGGCCUGCACAAGCGGUGGAGUAUGUGGCUUAAUUCGAUGCAACGCGAAGAACCUUACCUGGCCUUGACAUGUAAGUAGUAGAAGCCUGAAAGGGUGACGAUCCCGCAAGGGAGGCUUACACAGGUGCUGCAUGGCUGUCGUCAGCUCGUGUCGUGAGAUGUUGGGUUAAGUCCCGCAACGAGCGCAACCCUCAUGUCUUGUUGCCACUCCCGCGAGAGCGGGAAGCACUCUAGACAGACUGCCUCGUCUAAACGAGGAGGAAGGUGGGGAUGACGUCAAGUCAGUAUGGCCCUUACGGCCAGGGCUGCACACGUACUACAAUGCCCGGUACAGAGGGAAGCAAGACCGUAAGGUGGAGCAAAUCCCAGAAAACCAGGCCCAGUUCAGAUUGUCGUCUGCAACUCGACGACAUGAAGUUGGAAUCGCUAGUAAUGGCGCAUCAGCUACGGCGCCGUGAAUACGUUCCCAGGCCUUGUACACACCGCCCGUCACAUCAUGAAAGCCGGCUGUACCCGAAGUCGCUGUGCCAACCCCGCGCAAGCGGGGGGGUAGGUGCCGAAGGUAUGGCUGGUGAUUGGGAUGAAGUCGUAACAAGGUAGCCGUA
This 1542-nucleotide ribosomal RNA is filed under the name uncultured Verrucomicrobiota bacterium. RNAcentral's name for it is "bacterial SSU rRNA". It matches the Rfam family "Bacterial small subunit ribosomal RNA". Lineage: Bacteria; Pseudomonadati; Verrucomicrobiota. The record is from RNAcentral.